RNAcentral lists this ribosomal RNA (422 nucleotides) under Verrucomicrobiota bacterium. RNAcentral describes it as "Verrucomicrobia bacterium partial 16S ribosomal RNA". It matches the Rfam family "Bacterial small subunit ribosomal RNA", at positions 355 to 776 of the family's 1533-position model. The record is from RNAcentral. Lineage: Bacteria; Pseudomonadati; Verrucomicrobiota.
UGGGGAAUUUUGCACAAUGGGCGCAAGCCUGAUGCAGCGACGCCGCGUGAGGGAUGAAGGCCUUCGGGUUGUAAACCUUUUUCGCUCAUGGUCAAGCCGCAGCUUUGGGUUGUGGUGAGGGUAGUGGGUAAAGAAGCGCCGGCUAACUACGUGCCAGCAGCCGCGGUAAUACGUAGGGCGCGAGCGUUGUCCGGAAUUAUUGGGCGUAAAGGGCUUGUAGGCGGUUGGCCGCGUCUGCCGUGAAAUCCUCUGGCUUAACUGGGGGCGUGCGGUGGGUACGGGUUGACUUGAGUGCGGUAGGGGAGACUGGAAUUCCUGGUGUAGCGGUGGAAUGCGCAGAUAUCAGGAGGAACACCGGUGGCGAAGGCGGGUCUCUGGGCCGUUACUGACGCUGAGGAGCGAAAGCGUGGGGAGCGAACAGA